This 368-nucleotide ribosomal RNA is filed under the name uncultured organism. RNAcentral's name for it is "bacterial LSU rRNA". It matches the Rfam family "Bacterial large subunit ribosomal RNA", at positions 2099 to 2465 of the family's 2925-position model. The record is from RNAcentral.
CUUGACUGUAUCCUGGAAUUGGGUUCGGGCUUUUCUUGCGCAGCCUAGGUGGGAGGCUAUGAAGAUUUCCUUCCGGGGAAGUUGGAGCCAUCAGUGAGAGACCACUCUGGAGAGGCUAGAAUCCUAAUGGUGAUCCUUGAAUCAGGACACUUGACAGUUUCAGGUGGGCAGUUUUUCUGGGGCAGAAGCCUCAUAAAGGGUAACUGAGGCGCGCAAAGGUCCCCUCAGUCUGGACGGAAAUCAGACAACGAGUGUAAAGGCAAAAGGGGGCUUGACUGCAAGACCUACAAGUCGAGCAGGGGCGAAAGCUGGUCUUAGUGAUCCGACGGUACCGUGUGGAAGGGCCGUCGCUCAACGAAUAAAAGUUA